CGGAGGGUGCAAACGUUGCUCGGAAUCAUUGGGCGUAAAGCGCACGUAGGCGGACCGCUAAGUCGGAUGUGAAAGCCCUCGGCUUAACCGAGGAAGUGCAUUCGAAACUGACAGUCUUGAGUAUGGAAGAGGGUCGCGGAAUUCCCGGUGUAGAGGUGAAAUUCGUAGAUAUCGGGAGGAACACCAGUGGCGAAGGCGGCGACCUGGGCCAAUACUGACGCUGAGGUGCGAAAGCGUGGGGAGCAAACAGGAUU
This 254-nucleotide ribosomal RNA is filed under the name uncultured bacterium. RNAcentral's name for it is "partial 16S ribosomal RNA". It matches the Rfam family "Bacterial small subunit ribosomal RNA", at positions 526 to 779 of the family's 1533-position model. The record is from RNAcentral.